AUUGAACGCUGGCGGAAUGCUUUACACAUGCAAGUCGAGCGGCAGCGCGGGGCAACCUGGCGGCGAGCGGCGAACGGGUGAGUAAUGCAUCGGAACGUACCCAGUCGUGGGGGAUAACUGUCCGAAAGGACAGCUAAUACCGCAUACGUCCUGAGGGAGAAAGCGGGGGAUCGCAAGACCUCGCGCGAUUGGAGCGGCCGAUGCCGGAUUAGCUAGUUGGUAGGGUAAAGGCCUACCAAGGCGACGAUCCGUAGCUGGUCUGAGAGGACGACCAGCCACACUGGAACUGAGACACGGUCCAGACUCCUACGGGAGGCAGCAGUGGGGAAUUUUGGGACAAUGGGGGGCAACCCUGAUCCAGCCAUUCCGCGUGAGUGAAGAA
Molecule: ribosomal RNA, 382 nt
Filed under: uncultured bacterium
Lineage: Bacteria
Description: bacterial SSU rRNA
Rfam family: Bacterial small subunit ribosomal RNA
Source: RNAcentral